This 346-nucleotide ribosomal RNA is filed under the name uncultured bacterium. Its description in RNAcentral is "bacterial SSU rRNA". It matches the Rfam family "Bacterial small subunit ribosomal RNA", at positions 29 to 403 of the family's 1533-position model. The record is from RNAcentral.
AGCGAACGCUGGCGGCAGGCCUAAUACAUGCAAGUCGAGCGCCCCUUCGGGGGAGCGGCGGACGGGUGAGUAACGCGUGGGAACGUGCCCUUUGGUACGGAACAACUGAGGGAAACUUCAGCUAAUACCGUAUGUGCCCUUCGGGGGAAAGAUUUAUCGCCAUUGGAGCGGCCCGCGUUGGAUUAGGUAGUUGGUGAGGUAAAGGCUCACCAAGCCUACGAUCCAUAGCUGGUCUGAGAGGAGAUCAGCCACACUGGGACUGAGACACCGGCCCAGACUCCUACGGGAGGCAGCAGUAAGGAAUAUUGGUCAAGUGGGCGGAAGCCUGAACCAGCCAUGCCGCGUG